AACGAACGCUGGCGGCAUGCCUAACACAUGCAAGUCGAACGAGACCUUCGGGUCUAGUGGCGCACGGGUGCGUAACGCGUGGGAACCUGCCCUUAGGUUCGGAAUAACUCCCCGAAAGGGGUGCUAAUACCGGAUAAUGUCUUCGGACCAAAGAUUUAUCGCCUUUGGAUGGGCCCGCGUUGGAUUAGCUAGUUGGUAGGGUAAAAGCCUACCAAGGCGACGAUCCAUAGCUGGUCUGAGAGGAUGAUCAGCCACACUGGGACUGAGACACGGCCCAGACUCCUACGGGAGGGAGCAGUGGGGAAUAUUGGACAAUGGGCGAAAGCCUGAUCCAGCAAUGCCGCGUGAGUGAUGAAGGCCUUAGGGUUGUAAAGCUAUUUUACCCGGGAUGAUAAUGACAGUACCGGGAGAAUAAGCUCCGGCUAACUCCGUG
RNAcentral lists this ribosomal RNA (433 nucleotides) under uncultured bacterium. Its description in RNAcentral is "partial 16S ribosomal RNA". It matches the Rfam family "Bacterial small subunit ribosomal RNA", at positions 29 to 507 of the family's 1533-position model. The record is from RNAcentral.